Molecule: long non-coding RNA, 688 nt
Organism: Peromyscus eremicus (cactus mouse)
Lineage: Eukaryota; Metazoa; Chordata; Mammalia; Rodentia; Cricetidae
Exons: 2
Source: RefSeq, a predicted model, not a curated record
GGGGAGGGGCUCAGGACACCACCUCGCAGAAGGACCUACUGGGCAGUUAACAGUUGCUGGGGAAGGAAAGUCAUAAUCCCUCAGUGCUGUAGUCACUGGUGGGGGCCACCAACCCAGGCUUCUUAAAAAAGAGAAAAAAGAAGUUGAAAACUGUUUACCUACUGUCUGAAGAUCUUUUCUUUAGAAUUCUUUUAACGUUAUUAACAUCCUCAAAUAUUUAUCAACAGCAUUUAAGACACAAUUGAUAAUUGGCUAUAUAAGGCUACUUUGAUCUCAUCACUUGAAAAAAGCCAGUACUAGGCUGGCAAGAUGGCUCAGUUGCCACCAAGCACUAAGACCUGACUGAAUUCCUUUCCUAUAACCCAUCUAGUAGACGGGAGAAAAAUGAAAAUGAUUCCCACAAGUUGUCCUCUGACCUCUACACACACACACACACACACACACACACACACACACACACACAGCAAUCCUUAUGUGUGAUGGAGAACAUCAUUCUACACAUUAUUAAGGCUUCCAAUAGAGACCCACUAACAGCGCUGUCACCAAUAUCAAGGGGCUGUAACUCCUUCAACGCCUGGUCUCUAAAGGCAAAAUGAUGACGCUUGUUCCAAGGCAGAUCUGCAAGUCCCUUCACUGCCUGGGCCUGCUAUUCAUACUUCAAUUAAAUGCCUUUCCAACUUAAGCUGAA